RNAcentral lists this ribosomal RNA (253 nucleotides) under uncultured bacterium. Its description in RNAcentral is "partial 16S ribosomal RNA". It matches the Rfam family "Bacterial small subunit ribosomal RNA", at positions 524 to 776 of the family's 1533-position model. The record is from RNAcentral.
UACGGGGAGGGCAAGCGUUGUUCGGAAUUACUGGGCGUAAAGGGUGCGCAGGCGGUUGUGCAAGACAGGUGUGAAAUCCCCGGGCUUAACCUGGGAACUGCACUUGUGACUGCAUAGCUGGAGUACGGCAGAGGGGGAUGGAAUUCCGCGUGUAGCAGUGAAAUGCGUAGAUAUGCGGAGGAACACCGAUGGCGAAGGCAGUCCCCUGGGCCUGUACUGACGCUCAUGCACGAAAGCGUGGGGAGCAAACAGG